Chelonoidis abingdonii (Abingdon island giant tortoise) is the source of this 118-nucleotide non-coding RNA. Lineage: Eukaryota; Metazoa; Chordata; Testudines; Testudinidae. The record is from RefSeq and is a predicted model, not a curated record.
UUCACCCAACAGGCGGCUCUGAGCUGUUGGGGCAUUGGAGAAGUUAGGAAAUCAGCUCCUGUAGGAACAGACCCCACUCACCCGUAGCCAGAAGAGCAGCGAGGAUGCAGACAGCAAG